RNAcentral lists this ribosomal RNA (1325 nucleotides) under metagenome. RNAcentral describes it as "bacterial LSU rRNA". It matches the Rfam family "Bacterial large subunit ribosomal RNA", at positions 1561 to 2925 of the family's 2925-position model. The record is from RNAcentral.
AGUGGAUGGGGAGCAACCUAGUUGUGCGUGUGUAAAGGUAGUGCCAAGAAAAGCGAUGAUCAUGUUGAAAAUCAAUUCCCGGUACCCGAAACCGACACAGGUGGGCAAGUAGAGAAUACUAAGGGGCGCGAGGUAACUCUCUCCAAGGAACUCGGCAAAAUGACCCCGUAACUUAGGGAGAAGGGGUGCCACCGAGAGGUGGUCGCAGUGAAGAGGCCCAGGCGACUGUUUAGCAAAAACAUAGGUCUCUGCAAACUCGAAAGAGGAGGUAUAGGGGCUGACGCCUGCCCAGUGCCGGAAGGUUAAAGAAGUUGGUCAGUUUUAGGAUGAAGCUAGCGACUGAAGCCCCGGUGAACGGCGGCCGUAACUAUAACGGUCCUAAGGUAGCGAAAUUCCUUGUCGGGUAAGUUCCGACCCGCACGAAAGGCGUAACGAUCUGGGCGCUGUCUCGGAGAGAGGCUCGGCGAAAUAGGAUUGUCUGUGAAGAUACGGACUACCUGCAUUUGGACAGAAAGACCCUAUGAAGCUUUACUAUAGCUUGGAAUUGUGUUCGGGCUUCCUGCGCGCAGGAUAGGUGGGAGGCGUAGAAGGUAUUCUUGUGGGGAUACUGGAGCCAACGGUGAGAUACCACUCUCAGGAGGCUAGAAUUCUAACUUAAUUAAGGACAGUUUCAGGUGGGUAGUUUGACUGGGGCGGUCGCCUCCAAAAAGGUAACGGAGGCGUACAAAGGUUCCCUCAGACUGGUUGGAAAUCAGUCGAAGAGUGCAAAGGCAGAAGGGAGCUUGACUGCGAGAAGUACAGUUCGAGCAGGGUGGAAACACGGUCUUAGUGAUCCGACGGUGCUGUGUGGAAGGGCCGUCGCUCAACGGAUAAAAGUUACUCUAGGAUAACAGGCUGAUCUCCCCCAAGAGUUCACAUCGACGGGGAGGUUUGGCACCUCGAUGUCGGCUCAUCGCAACCUGGGGCGGAAGUACGUCCCAAGGGUUGGGCUGUUCGCCCAUUAAAGCGGUACGUGAGCUGGGUUCAGAACGUCGUGAGACAGUUCGGUCCAUAUCCGAUGUAGGCGUGAGAAUAUUGAGAGGAGCCUUCCUUAGUACGAGAGGACCGGGAAGGACGCACCGCUGGUGUACCUGUUAUGAUGCCAAUUGUAAACGCAGGGUAGCCAAGUGCGGAGAGGAUAACCGCUGAAAGCAUCUAAGUGGGAAGCCCACCUCAAGAUGAGUAUUCUGGUGUAAGGUCACGGGAAGACGACCCGUAAAUAGGCACGAGGUGGAAGUGCAGAGAUGUAUGAAGCCGAAGUGUACUAAUAGACCGUCGGCUUGACC